RNAcentral lists this ribosomal RNA (253 nucleotides) under uncultured bacterium. RNAcentral describes it as "partial 16S ribosomal RNA". It matches the Rfam family "Bacterial small subunit ribosomal RNA", at positions 524 to 776 of the family's 1533-position model. The record is from RNAcentral.
UACGAAGGGGGCUAGCGUUGUUCGGAAUUACUGGGCGUAAAGCGCACGUAGGCGGAUAUUUAAGUCAGGGGUGAAAUCCCGGGGUUCAACCUCGGAACUGCCUUUGAUACUGGGUAUCUUGAGUGUGGAAGAGGUCGGUGGAAUUGCGAGUGUAGAGGUGAAAUUCGUAGAUAUUCGCAGGAACACCAGUGGCGAAGGCGGCCGACUGGUCCAUUACUGACGCUGAGGUGCGAAAGCGUGGGGAGCAAACAGG